UCCACUACCCCAUUGUCGUCGUCGUCGUCGUGGAGCAGGAGGGGCAGGGAUCUGCUGGUUUUAUGAGGCGCCCUACCCCUCCCUCCCAUUGUCCACCGCGGCGGCCGCUCCGGGAUGUGCCCGAUCUGCGCAGAUCCGCGAAGCGUUGCUGCAACCUACUACUAUGUACUAGUACUGUUACUCUUCAAAGUUCCCUCUCUUAUUAGUUGUUGCUAAAUUAAUGCUCCAAUGUCAGAUGUGGUAGCGUGACAGAUACUAUUUGGUUUUCCCGAGUCAAUCAUCACAUCGACAUAUCUAUAAUAAUUCAACUAGUAAUCGCAGACACCGACCUCCCAUCAUUAAUUUAAGCCAACACGCUAACCAAAACUCGAUCGAUCCAGUGCACCAUCGACGCCGCAGAUCUGUCCAGCAAAAAUGGAGCAAGUGGCCGGCCCGUGCAGAAACAGCAGAUUAUUUUAGCCAACAUGACGUGCUUAUUAAAGCCGAGGGAACAUGGAAUCUUUCACUAUGAGUAUUCGCUAACAACUGAAAAAAUAUCAUUAUCAGAGGGGGGCAACUUUUUCUUUUUGCAAUAUUCUUUUUUUUUUCUAUAAACCGCAGGAGCAGCAUCCUUCAAAGCUUAACAUGUUUCAAGCAGCAGACAGUUGUUCAAUCCGUACCAGCGAUGAGAGAUGUCAAAGACCAUUCGUGAAGAAUAACCAAGUCCAAACCAGUUCUUCACGGCUUGACGCGUAGCCAACUAAACAUCGCUACCAGAUCAGCUGUACAAUGGACAAACCUCGCCGAAUGCCAGCGAUAGAGCUCAAUGACGGUGAUAACAAGAACCGAACAAAUGCUGCAGUUGCAUCACGCCCUAAGGAUGUCUCCAGCAACGUUUCUCUGUAUCCGUCUUUUACAGAGUCUCCUUUACAGUCUCCUUUAAAAGAUUAUAUUCUCUAUAUCUCCUUCUUUCCAACAACGUCAUCUAAAUCACGUCAUCUAUACUCAAAUAUCUAUAUUAAAGACAUUUUUUAUUUUUAUUUUUUACAUACCUAUUUAUCAUACUCUCAAAUAUAUUGUAUAUAUUUUAGUUUUACUAAACCGUUUAUUUAAAAUAUUCAAAUAGAUAGAUGACCGUUUAGAGAAACUCUAAAUAUAGAGAAUCCAGCAGCGUUCUCUAAAUUUAGAGGACCGUUUAGAGGACGCUGCUAGAGAGCGUAGAGAGUUAUUUGAUCCUCUAUAUUUAGGGUACAAAAC
Molecule: long non-coding RNA, 1236 nt
Filed under: Zea mays
Lineage: Eukaryota; Viridiplantae; Streptophyta; Magnoliopsida; Poales; Poaceae
Description: long non-coding RNA (ZMAY_LNC003960)
Source: RNAcentral